CUUAUUGGAGAGUUUGAUCCUGGCUCAGGACGAACGCUGGCGGCGUGCUAAACACAUGCAAGUCGAGCGGUAAGGCCCUUCGGGGUACACGAGCGGCGAACGGGUGAGUAACACGUGGGUAACCUGCCCUGUACUCCGGGAUAAGCCUGGGAAACURGGUCUAAUACCGGUUACGACGUUCCAUCGCAUGGUGUGGGGUGGAAAGUUCCGGCGGUAUGGGAUGGACCCGGGCCUAUCAGCUUGUUGGUGGGGUGAUGGCCUACCAAGGCGACGACGGGUAGCCGGCCUGAGAGGGUGACCGGCCACACUGGGACUGAGACACGGCCCAGACUCCUACGGGAGGCAGCAGUGGGGAAUUAUUGCACAAUGGGCGAAAGCCUAAUGCAGCGACGCCGCGUGAGGGAUGACGGCCUUCGGGUUGUAAACCUCUUUCAGCAGGGACGAAGCGYGAGUGACGGUACCUGCAGAAGAAGCACCGGCUAACUACGUGCCAGCAGCCGCGGUAAUACGUAGGGUGCSAGCGUUGUCCGGAAUUAUUGGGCGUUAAGAGCUCGUAGGCGGUUUGUUGCGUCGGCCGUGAAAACUUCACGCUUAACGUGGAGCCUGCGGUCGAUACGGGCAGACUUGAGUUCGGCAGGGGAGACUGGAAUUCCUGGUGUUAGCGGUGAAAUCGCCAGAUAUCAGGAGGAACACCGGUGGCGAAGGCGGGUCUCUGGGCCGAUACUGACGCUGAGGAGCGAAAGCGUGGGGAGCGAACAGGAUUAGAUACCCUGGUAGUCCACGCCGUAAACGGUGGGUGCUAGGUGUGGGGGGCUUCCACGUCCUCCGUGCCGCAGCUAACGCAUUAAGCACCCCGCCUGGGGAGUACGGCCGCAAGGCUAAAAACUCAAAGGAAUUGACGGGGGCCCGCACAAGCGGCGGAGCAUGUGGAUUAAUUCGAUGCAACGCGAAGAACCUUACCUGGGCUUGACAUGCACCGGAAACCUCCAGAGAUGGGGGCCUCCUUGGACUGGUGUACAGGUGGUGCAUGGGCUGUCGUCAGCUCGUGUCGUGAGAUGUUGGGUUAAGUCCCGCAAACGAGCGCAACCCUCGUUCCAUGUUGCCAGCGCGUAAUGGCGGGGACUCAUGGGAGACUGCCGGGGUCAACUCGGAGGAAGGUGGGGAUGACGUCAAGUCAUCAUGCCCCUUAUGUCCAGGGCUUCACACAUGCUACAAUGGCCGGUACAGAGGGCUGCUAAGCCGUGAGGUGGAGCGAAUCCCAGAAAGCCGGUCUCAGUUCGGAUCGGGGUCUGCAACUCGACCCCGUGAAGUCGGAGUCGCUAGUAAUCGCAGAUCAGCAACGCUGCGGUGAAUACGUUCCCGGGCCUUGUACACACCGCCCGUCAAGUCACGAAAGUCGGUAACACCCGAAGCCCGUGGCCCAACCCGUAAGGGCGGGAGCGGUCGAAGGUGGGACUGGCGACA
Molecule: ribosomal RNA, 1464 nt
Filed under: Saccharothrix sp. 99-08-221A
Lineage: Bacteria; Bacillati; Actinomycetota; Actinomycetes; Pseudonocardiales; Pseudonocardiaceae
Description: bacterial SSU rRNA
Rfam family: Bacterial small subunit ribosomal RNA
Source: RNAcentral